This 68-nucleotide transfer RNA is filed under the name Neoseiulus womersleyi. RNAcentral's name for it is "tRNA-Phe". The record is from RNAcentral. Lineage: Eukaryota; Metazoa; Arthropoda; Arachnida; Mesostigmata; Phytoseiidae.
AUCUCAAUAGUUUAAUAAAAACUUAACUUUGAAAAAGUUACAAUAGAUUAAAUUAUAUCUUUUAGAUA